Long non-coding RNA from Peromyscus leucopus (white-footed mouse), 306 nucleotides. RefSeq lists it as uncharacterized. The transcript has 3 exons. The record is from RefSeq and is a predicted model, not a curated record. Lineage: Eukaryota; Metazoa; Chordata; Mammalia; Rodentia; Cricetidae.
AGCUGUCAUCUGGAGAAAACUAUGAGUCUCUACCCAGCUCAUGGUCAAGGACUUCAGCAAGUUUUCCACUCACUGACAAUCACUGAACUGGUUGAUGACUCAGAUUUUCUUUCCAUCUCAAGUUUCUUUUAUUGAAAUUUGGAAGACCAUAUCACUGUCUUACACACCAAAGAAUUUUGACGGUUUUUGGUUACCAAAAGAAAACUGGAUGAGACUACAGAGGCAAGAUUUAAGGUGAACUACCCCUAUAUUUGCAAAGGAAGGCAAUCCUCCAUCUAUGGCAUCUCUACUCAGAAUGGACCUACU